This 254-nucleotide ribosomal RNA is filed under the name uncultured bacterium. RNAcentral describes it as "partial 16S ribosomal RNA". It matches the Rfam family "Bacterial small subunit ribosomal RNA", at positions 524 to 776 of the family's 1533-position model. The record is from RNAcentral.
UACGGAGGGUGCGAGCGUUGUCCGGAAUCAUUGGGCGUAAAGGGCGCGUAGGUGGCCCGGUCAGUCUUUGGUGAAAGCGCGGGGCUCAACCCUGCGUCGGCCAGGGAUACUGCCGCGGCUCGAGCACUGUAGAGGCAGGCGGAAUUCCGGGUGUAGCGGUGGAAUGCGUAGAGAUCCGGAAGAACACCAGUGGCGAAGGCGACUCGCUGGACAAGUAUUGACGCUGAGGUGCGAAAGCGUGGGGAGCAAACAGG